GCAGAGUAUCCGAGGCGCGUUAAGUGUUGCGAAACGGGACGUUGUUCGCAAACGAAAGGGCUUUGCCCUGCGGUGCCGAGGAGCGUCCGUUG
RNAcentral lists this non-coding RNA (92 nucleotides) under chicken gut metagenome. RNAcentral describes it as "THF riboswitch". It matches the Rfam family "THF (Tetrahydrofolate) riboswitch aptamer". Rfam says of the family: THF riboswitch presents a pseudoknot that joins P1-P2 and the loop of P3 and two THF binding. The record is from RNAcentral.